This 169-nucleotide ribosomal RNA is filed under the name Platycaranx talamparoides (imposter trevally). Its description in RNAcentral is "partial 12S rRNA". Lineage: Eukaryota; Metazoa; Chordata; Actinopteri; Carangiformes; Carangidae. The record is from RNAcentral.
CACCGCGGUUAUACGAGAGGCUCAAGUUGACAGACAACGGCGUAAAGAGUGGUUAAGGAAAAUACCUAACUAAAGCGGAACACCCUCACAGCUGUUAUACGCUUCCGAGGGCAUGAACCCCAACUACGAAGGUGGCUUUACAUUACCUGAACCCACGAAAGCUAAGAAA